This 116-nucleotide ribosomal RNA is filed under the name Enterococcus diestrammenae. RNAcentral also lists the same sequence under 1 other name. Lineage: Bacteria; Bacillati; Bacillota; Bacilli; Lactobacillales; Enterococcaceae. The record is from RNAcentral.
UGUGGUGGCGAUAGCAAGAAGGAUACACCUGUAACCAUGUCGAACACAGAAGUUAAGCUUCUUAGCGCCGAUUGUAGUGCCGGGUUUCUCGGUGUGAGAGUAGGACGUCGCCACGC